This 260-nucleotide ribosomal RNA is filed under the name uncultured bacterium. RNAcentral's name for it is "partial 16S ribosomal RNA". It matches the Rfam family "Bacterial small subunit ribosomal RNA", at positions 793 to 1055 of the family's 1533-position model. The record is from RNAcentral.
GUCCACGCCGUAACGGUGGGCGCUAGGUGUGGGGCCAUUCCACGGUCUCUGUGCCGCAGCUAACGCAUUAAGCGCCCCGCCUGGGGAGUACGGCCGCAAGGCUAAAACUCAAAGGAAUUGACGGGGCCCGCACAAGCGGCGGAGCAUGUGGAUUAAUUCGAUGCAACGCGAAGAACCUUACCUGGGUUUGACAUGCGCCAGACGCAUCCAGAGAUGGGUGUUCCCUUGUGGUUGGUGUGCAGGUGGUGCAUGGCUGUCGU